RNAcentral lists this ribosomal RNA (255 nucleotides) under uncultured bacterium. RNAcentral describes it as "partial 16S ribosomal RNA". It matches the Rfam family "Bacterial small subunit ribosomal RNA", at positions 99 to 354 of the family's 1533-position model. The record is from RNAcentral.
CGGACGGGUGAGUAACGCGUGGAAAACCUGCCGUAUACUGGGGGAUAACACUUAGAAAUAGGUGCUAAUACCGCAUAAGCGCACAGCUUCGCAUGAAGCGGUGUGAAAAACUCUGGUGGUAUACGAUGGUUCCGCGUCUGAUUAGCCAGUUGGUGGGGUAAUGGCCUACCAAGGCAACGAUCAGUAGCCGGCCUGAGAGGGUGAACGGCCACAUUGGGACUGAGACACGGCCCAAACUCCUACGGGAGGCAGCAG